CUAAAAUCUUUAAUUGGUAUCAAGAAAACUUUCAAACAAGCUAUUAUUUGGUUUUAUUUUCAAAAUAAUUAGUAAAAAAAAUUAUUUUUGCAAUUAGUAUCAAGCAACCCAAGAAUGUUUUGUCUUUAGUAUUGUUGGUGCGAGAAUCCAUCUGGCGCUAGGAUGCUGGAGUGGAAAAUGAAGCGGGCCUCCUGGGUGUGUGACCUGCAAAAAGUCCUGAUCGGAGGUUGCUCCAGUGAGGACCCUCCAACGCUCAAGUUAAAACUCUCAUUCAACAGAUAGAGGAGCAUAAGAGGCAUAAUAAUGGCAUACCUUUUUGGGGUCCUCUUUGAGCCUCCUUUGGGUGGAGGGUUAGAGCUUCAGUUGGCAAGUUGGUUGACGCAAUCUUACUUUAUUAGGAUAUUUGUAGGGUGCAAGACUAUCGCUCGAGAUUUUCAAGAUGUAGAUGUUGUGGUUGUCUUAUCAGUUCAGUGACAGUUGUCUUCUGAUAGGCGUUUGAAUUUUAAAUUGAGCUGCCAACUAGGUGUUACCAAGAUGAGAGUUG
RNAcentral lists this long non-coding RNA (544 nucleotides) under Elaeis guineensis (African oil palm). RNAcentral describes it as "long non-coding RNA (EGUI_LNC061525)". Lineage: Eukaryota; Viridiplantae; Streptophyta; Magnoliopsida; Arecales; Arecaceae. The record is from RNAcentral.